GUAUAUAUAUUACAUAUGCACACACAUACCCAGGCAACAAUAUAUAUGAUUAUAUAUAAUCAUUAUAUAUAUGAUUUAUGUGUAUAUAUAUAUAUACACACCCAGGUGAAAUAUGAUUAUAAUAUAUAUAAAUAUAAUCCAUAUAUAUAAAUGGGCAUCACUGCCCAUUUUUAAUAGCCUAGGAUAGCGACAGGGCUCAGGGAAGCCACUGUCUGGGAGUGGCUAGGAACUGGCUGGCUCUUCCCCAGUGUGUGUGUGUGUGUGUGUGUAUAAUAUAUAUUUUUUUUCAUAUAUAUAAUAUAUAUGAUUUAUACUUUAUUGAGCCCUCGUAGUUUGGUGACAGUCAAGUGGCUGGGAGGUAGGACAGCAAUGCUCUGAUUAGCAGCAUGUAAGACUCACCUCCAGGCAAAUCCUGUGGUUUGCAACCAGAAAGAUCUAGCAGGUUGAGGCCCUCCUCUGCCAGCCACACUUCAGCAGCAACCACAAUCCACAAAAUUCCCCCAUUCGCACUAUUGCCUUGCAAUGGAUCUAUAGUAUGAAGUUAGAAUAAGCCUGUCAUUUAAGCCACUGGGAUGCGGAGAGUUUCCCUUUUACAUCAUGGCUCAGCUUAACCUGAUUGAUAUGACCUGUAAAUCCCACUGGCUUGAUACAGCAACAUCCUUUGGGGUGAGCAGCUCUUUCUGGGGACCCAACUCCCGCCACAGCCCAGCCAAGUUUUCAGCACCUGGCCGUGGAUGGUGGAAAAUCAGAUGAAGUCUCGCCAAGCCUGUCCUUGUAAGUGGGCUGCUGGAGCUCUAGUUCCUGGCCACCAGAAACAGAGAGACAAUCUGAGUAUUUAAGCACUAUUCCGAGAGCCUGAGAUCCGAUUAGGCAGCGGCUUAACAACUAGGAAAAUAACAGCCUUAGCACACCCUCUCCAAUCAGCCAGCUUCAGGGGAGACGGUUCAGGAAAUCAGUCUUGCCCCCUUGGUGCAGUAGGCAGCCAUGCUUUGUAAAGAAUCUUUUUAGUUACUCUUUGACAGUUUCAAACAUGUACGCAUGCAGCUUGAUCAUCUGCACCCAGCUCCCAGCUCCCACUGAGUCCGCCUGGCACUGGGAGGUUGGCUAUUCUUGCUGGCUUGAUCUUAUACAGGUCGUGUGCGGGUAGUCAUAGCAACGGUAAGUUCAUGGGUGAACUACUGGUCAUGCCAUGUCCAAAGGACAGUAUUUCACAGCACUUCUUCCUAACUUCCAGCUCUUAAAUUCAUUCUUCUUCCAUAAUAUUGCAGUGUGUGUGUGUGUGUGUGUGUGUGUGUGUGUGUGUGUGUGUGUGUAUGCAAAUGUCCCAUUUAGGGCUGAGCACUCAACAGUAAUUUAUUCUCAGUACUUUGAAAAGUCAGAAGUCUCUGCAUUUACUGAUGACCGCUGCAGAGAGAGAUUGAGGGUAGCUAUGAUUGAUUGAUUGAUGAAUAUAAACAUCGACAGUUGGAACACAGUUUGACAAUAUGGCCACUUAACAAUACAACAGUAGGUUUUCCCUAAGCCUUAGGACCUAUGGUCUCUCCAGUCAUUGACUUUUGACAAGAUUUAUGGUGCCAGGCAUGAAUCAAUUCCCAUGGAGCAGGGUUCAAAUCCAAUCCAAAGCAGUUGGGUACCUCCUACACAUCUGUGCCUCUAUUGCAUCAGUGAGCGCAUCCUUAGUAGGGUGCAGGGUUGGCCACAGGUAUAGCAUCGAUAUCUUUUUUCUCCCUCAUCACCUACAACCUGCACAAUACCUUUCAGCUCCACGAAAGCAAGCCAGCAGGGAGGAAAUCUUCAGGCCUGCUAGCAGGAGCAGUCCUUGACUGGUAGUCACUACUACAGAGUGGACUUUAACAAUGGCAUCUGAACACCCUCGGUGGGUACAUCUCUCUGCUCUGUGGAGCUUUAGGAAGGACCUGCCCAUGAAGGUCACCAGAAAGACCUGAAGAAUAUGGCAGGAGUUUUGCAUUGUAGAGGGUCCAAGAGAGAGAAGGGGGUGCUUCAACCAAGCGAAGGUCCACACUGACUACACAUGGUGACUGCUAAUCACCAUAUGCUUCUAGAACCGCCCCCCUCUCUCUCUGGCCCAUUGCAAUCAUUGGUUUGCACACGACACUGUGUAUUGUUCCAUCCACACUGUAAGAGCCCAGAGACCAACAGUGUCUCUACAGGCCCCAGCAGACUGGUAGCAAUGCUCUGCUUAGACAACAUGUGUUAGCCACGGCCCCUCAGUUGAGUGCUUGUGAGAAGCUUCAUUCCUGCAAGGCAGAUGGCCAUUGUGACACCCCAAGGCUGCUUCAACGAGACAAGCAAAGGAGCUCCCACCUUCAUGUGGCUUGACAGCUUGCCCUGCUGGCCUGUCAUCCGAGUGUCAAAGCAGCUUCUUCAGAUACUUCGUUUUCUGGACUUCAUCCAAGAAGCUGUUGGACACAGAGAAACUGAGAAACUGCCAGUCACUUUCUCAGCUUCUUCCUCGAGAGAGUCUGCGUGUCAAAAAAACUGUUAUUAGGAAUGUAAACACUGCAGACAUUUGAGCUAGCAAGCAGAGAUUCAACCCCUCUUCACUGUUGUUCAAUGUAUUCCAAGGCAGAUGUGGUUGAUUCUUCUAAGAGCACCCAGCCAUCCUUCCUCUGCAGAGCUGGUGAAGGUAGCUGGGUAAUACUUCAGAGUGGGCUGGACAGAAGUCACGAGGAGACAACCAUAGGAUGGUGGUUCCAUGUGUGCACAGGGCUGAGGGGUGACCCCUUCGAUGUCUUCUCCAAGAUGUGAGAGGAAGUCGCUGCCUUCUACAUUCAUAGCCCUGGCUUGGGAACAGAUUUCUGGAUGUCCCCACUGAAAUAGGUGAGAUCAAGUCUCCCGCCUCCCCUGAGCAGCACCACCCAGGCCUCUCUCCCUUGGCUUCCCAGGAGUGCAGAGAAAGAAGCUGAGCAAACUUUGGGGCCAAGGGAGAUGCUACACUCCGAGCCAAAAGGGCAGGUGAAGACCAAAGAGGGUGUGAGUAUGUCCUCUCAGGGGACAGGCCAGGCCUAGAACCACUGUGCCACAAAUACUAUGCACCAGGUGCCUCAGCAUGUCCUCUCAGGGGACAGGCCAGGCCUAGAACCACUGUGCCACUGUGCCACAAAUACUAUGCACCAGGUGCCUCAGCAGAGAGCAAUUUCUAUUCUUACAGUUCUGAGUCACAGAUCAAGCUACCACCAUUGCUCUGGUGGUCUCUCUUCUUUGCUCACAGAAGGCCCCUACCCUGCACCUGCGGUGACUGAAAGGUGCAGAGGAGACUGGUAAAGCACAUCUCUGGGUAUCUCUGAGAGGGCUUUUCCUCCCACGGUUGGUUCCCUGAGGGCCAUGAUCAACCAGUGAUUGACUUCACUGAAGGAAGUAUGGCACCAGGAGAGCCCUGGGUCGUUCCCAGCAUGCUCUCUGCUUUCUGUCCACUUGCAGAUUAAGAUGUGAGCCCUUAGCUUCUGUUUCAGUUACCGUGGCUGCUGCUCCUUUCUUUCUGCCCUUUGGAGCCAUAAGCCCCAAAUAAACUUUCUUUUAUAAGUUA
Molecule: non-coding RNA, 3547 nt
Organism: Rattus norvegicus (Norway rat)
Lineage: Eukaryota; Metazoa; Chordata; Mammalia; Rodentia; Muridae
Source: RefSeq, a predicted model, not a curated record